GAAUACAGUGGAAUCAAGCACCAAGGCCUAGGCAAAUGCAGCUCCAGAUUAGGUCUAUUGAGACAAAAAAGUGAAUUACAAUUAGGAUAGAGAGAGCAUGUUUGUGGAGAAACCAAUAUAUGACUCUGUGUGUGAGCUCACACUUAACAAAGAAUUCAAAUCAUAGAAGAAACCUAUGUGUUCUAUGUCACAGAGGGUCUGCUCUGCUUUUGCUUCUCAUUUAGCUGCUGCCAUGGCCAGCCCUGUCCCUGCAUCUCAUAUUUGCCAGACUGGAAGAUUUAUGUGUUCUUUAAAUGUGUACAAGAAACAGACUGAUCAGAAGGAGGCAGCUUGACAUCCAGUGCUCCAUCUGCACCAGUCGAUAGCAUAAGCUGGGUGCCCCAGGACCACACGGCCAGAAAUCUAUUGCAGUUUCCAGGUAAUUCUACUAGGGAAUUCACCCAGUUGACUUAUUGGACUAAGUAUUUAUCAACAGGGUAUUCUCACUUAAUUCCUUCUUUUCUUUGACUACAUGUAAAUUAGAAAUCUUUCCUUAAUUUUCAUUUUUCAUUCUGGAAAUAUAUACAUCAAGAUGUGUGGAAUACCUUUAAACUUUUCUCUCCAGUAGUGAGAGAAUAUCCAUCUUCCACUAGUCCUGAGAUACAAAAACAUACCUAUUUUUCUUAUAUGAUGUGUUCAGCAGCAAAACAAACUGUAAAGAGAGAACAAAGAAGCAGAACAGAUCAUUUUCCAGUCUCCCGCUCCCCCUCCUUUUCCUCCCUCACAAGCACAGGGCUCACAGCCAUGCUCUCAAACUGUCUAUCUUCUAGCUUUGGUUUACUGCAUAAAGAAUAUUUUAGCUGAAGAAAUGGAAAAAAUAAGUUGCAUAAUGACCUAGACACUAAGGGUUGCAACCAUAUGCAAUAAGUAAAAAGGAAAUCUAAUCCAAUCAGGAACUGCUUUAGGAAUGUCCUAUCCACCACUAAGUAGGUCAAACAAUAUGGUUGCAUUAGUUCCUUCAGAGUUAUAUGUUGUUGAACUAGGAAUUUGUUAUGAGUUACACCUUCCAUCUGUGUAGGCUUGUUCACUAAUGGCCAUUUACUAGUGUUUUUCCAGAAAGGAGGCUUCCUCCUCCUCCUUUGAGGUGGACUGUUGCAGGAAGGAAAUUUAGCAUUAAAGGAACUAUGUUUGAGAACUGAACAAUUUAAUUUUAUUUCAGUUCACCAUCAGUUCUAUAUCCUGUUCACUGAACUACAUAAUUCUCCUCUUUUUCUGUACACCAUUUAAGUAUUUAUAAAUUGUCAUGAUGCUUUUGUAGAGUGUUGGCUGUCAUGGAGCCAAGAUGUACAAGUUCAGUUUGCCGCUUUCUCUCUUCCACUUUGAAGCUAUUUUUAUUGCACUUGUUGUGUACUCUUCAACUUGUCAAGAUAUUCAGGACACUGACUCACACAGACCUGAACAUACUAUAUUGUGUCCAGCUAGAUCCUCAACCCUAUGGAACUCUUCUUCUGCUCUGUGUUAUUUCCUCAUACAUACCAGGUAAUUUUCAGGUCCUGGCAACAAUUUUCAUUGGACCUGGCUGUAUGUCACAAGGAAUUCCAUCUUGAACCAAUAUUCCCAUUCUCAUAGACCAAAACCAAAAUACUUGCAUUAAAUGUUGUGGCUCGAGGCUAUGUAUAAGGAACUCCUAAAAUCUGGCAUUUAAAAGUGCUCUGCAGGUGAACGCAUUUAGAAUAAUUGUCUUUUUUUUUUUUUUUUUAUCCAUUAAAUGGAUGAGAAUAUUGCAAUAUCGCUUUCAAAAUAUACCAGAUCCACGUAAAACCUGAGAGAAUGAUAGGAUUUCAUAUUCCGCCACUGCAAAUUUUAACUAUGAUUCAGCACUUCACACUUCCAUUAAAUUUCCACCCCGUAAAGUCCCUAUAUUUCUAUGGUCUUAUUAGUAUCAGUACACCAGCUCAAUAUAGCA
Molecule: long non-coding RNA, 1945 nt
Organism: Pezoporus flaviventris
Lineage: Eukaryota; Metazoa; Chordata; Aves; Psittaciformes; Psittacidae
Exons: 2
Source: RefSeq, a predicted model, not a curated record